Molecule: long non-coding RNA, 739 nt
Filed under: Equus caballus (horse)
Lineage: Eukaryota; Metazoa; Chordata; Mammalia; Perissodactyla; Equidae
Description: lncRNA (ENSECAG00000058508.1)
Source: RNAcentral
UCUCAAUUUCUGCAUUUGUAAAUAGAGAUGAUAAAGAAUCAUAGUCCCCCAGUGGAGGAGUGGGGCUGAAGGGCAGCAACAGUGUAUGGAUGAUAAGAAGGUUGAAGCAGAAGAUGAGUGCCUCUGGCUUAUUACAUCAUCAUUUUACAAGAGAAACUAACGUCCAGAGAAUAUCAAGAAACUGAAGCUUCCCAGGCCCAACUCCUCGGCUUCCUGACGUCAGUCUACCUUUCACCAUGGACAUAAACAGCCAAGGACACUCAUCUGAGAAAUCCUUUGUCUUCUCUGCUGGAAGCAGCCUCAGACACAGGCCGAUGGGAAAAUGCGGACCAAGAAAUCCACAGCCCCCCUCCCCUACCUAAAACCCCAAAUGAAAACCCCUACCCAUUUCUUAACGGGGAGCAAGUAACUUUUGGGAUGCUGGCCCUUGCUUUGCUCCCUCUGCCUGGCAAAGUAAAGCCUUUCUUUUUUCUCCCAAAACUCUAUUCUCGUUGUUUGGAUUGGCAUUGGGAUCAGAGACCGAACUUUCGGUAAAAUCAUGACUCCAGCUUCAUCAAAAUUUAGAGAAAAUGAUUUAAUUCCUACUUUGUUAGACUUUUCCUGCACUCACUUAAAUCAAAUGUUUGUUGUUGAAUAAGGAAUUAGAAGAGAGAAAAGGGGAAACUGAGCAUGUUAUUUCAAGAAAAAGCAAAUGUGUGAAAGUUCAGUGCAUAUUACAGACAAGGUGAAUUGGUUCGCU